UGAGGAAUAUUGCGCAAUGGAGGAAACUCUGACGCAGCCAUGCCGCGUGCAGGAAGAAUGCCCUACGGGUUGUAAACUGCUUUUAUAUAGGAAGAAACCCCGAUACGUGUAUCGGCUUGACGGUACUAUAUGAAUAAGGACCGGCUAACUCCGUGCCAGCAGCCGCGGUAAUACGGAGGGUCCAAGCGUUAUCCGGAUUUAUUAGGUUUAAAGGGUCCGCAGGCGGGAUUUUAAGUCAGUGGUGAAAGCCUACAGCUCAACUGUAGAACUGCCAUUGAAACUGAAAUUCUUGAGUGUGGUUGAAGUGGGCGGAAUAUGUCAUGUAGCGGUGAAAUGCAUAGAUAUGACAU
This 350-nucleotide ribosomal RNA is filed under the name uncultured bacterium. RNAcentral's name for it is "bacterial SSU rRNA". It matches the Rfam family "Bacterial small subunit ribosomal RNA", at positions 355 to 702 of the family's 1533-position model. The record is from RNAcentral.